UAAGGAAUAUUGCUCAAUGGGAGAAAUCCUGAAGCAGCAACGCCGCGUGGAGGAUGAAGGGUCUAUGACUUGUAAACUCCUGUAAAGAAGGAAAAAAUUCCCAUUAGAUGGGAGAUGAUGGUACUUCUGGAGUAAGCCCCGGCUAACUACGUGCCAGCAGCCGCGGUAAUACGUAGGGGGCAAGCGUUGUCCGGAUUUACUGGGUGUAAAGGGUGCUCAGGCGGAUUUGUAAGUCAGAGGUGAAAUCUUACAGCUUAACUGUGAAACUGCCUUGGAUAGUGCAAGCCUAGAGUAUGGAAGAGAGUGAUGGAAUAUGUGGUGUAGCAGUGAAAUGCGUAGAUAUCAGAUAGAACACCAAUGGCGAAGGAAGUCAUGUGGUCCAUUACUGAC
This 390-nucleotide ribosomal RNA is filed under the name uncultured bacterium. Its description in RNAcentral is "bacterial SSU rRNA". It matches the Rfam family "Bacterial small subunit ribosomal RNA", at positions 355 to 744 of the family's 1533-position model. The record is from RNAcentral.